CACGUAGGGUGCGAGCGUUGUCCGGAAUUAUUGGGCGUAAAGAGCUCGUAGGCGGUGUGUCGCGUCGGCCGUGAAAACCUGCAGCUUAACUGUGGGCUUGCGGUCGAUACGGGCAUCUCUGGAGUUCGGCAGGGGAGACUGGAAUUCCUGGUGUAGCGGUGAAAUGCGCAGAUAUCAGGAGGAACACCGGUGGCGAAGGCGGGUCUCUGGGCCGAUACUGACGCUGAGGAGCGAAAGCGUGGGGAGCGAACAGG
This 254-nucleotide ribosomal RNA is filed under the name uncultured bacterium. Its description in RNAcentral is "partial 16S ribosomal RNA". It matches the Rfam family "Bacterial small subunit ribosomal RNA", at positions 524 to 776 of the family's 1533-position model. The record is from RNAcentral.